This 2365-nucleotide long non-coding RNA is filed under the name Amphimedon queenslandica. Its description in RNAcentral is "uncharacterized LOC109583598". The record is from RNAcentral. Lineage: Eukaryota; Metazoa; Porifera; Demospongiae; Haplosclerida; Niphatidae.
GAUACAAUAUUUUAUAGUCCACUUCUGAAUCCUAAAGGCACCUCAUUUACCCAGUGUAGCUCUCAUUGGCCGGCUGGUAAUUUUCACUGCUAAUAAUAGAUUCCUUUCUUAUUUAUUAUAGCUGCAGAUACUUUACAUGCUAUCUGCAGUCAUGGUGAAGGCUAGUGGAUGGUCCCUCUUCUGUUGAACGAAGAGUGAAAGUUUGCAUCCGUAAUACUUGGGGGACUGUGUGUAAUUCUGGCUGGGGCACAAUGAAUGCUAAUAUAACCUGUCAUUAACUUGGACAUCAGAAAUAUGGUGCAGAGCCAGUGUAUUGGUCCGCUUAUGGUAAAGGCUUUUAUCCUCUUGCUCUGGCUGGUCUCGCUUGUAACGGAGAAGAGAGUAAUCUCUUGAAGUGCAGCAGAAACUACUACUUACUACUACUGUCUUGUAAUGGAGAUUGAAGCUGCUGGUGCCAAGUUUGAAAGUAAAGGAAUCUAUCCUGUAAUUUUUUACAUGCAAAUCUCAUUGAGUUGGUAGGACUCUGUGAUGAGCUAUCAGUUUGUGUCAUUGGUACUUCAUAUGCUAACAUGGGAUGUGUUGAUUUGUGUAGGAACAGGAUUUGACAUAGAGUUUGCUCGUUUCCUCAUGAAGCAGGUUCUGUAGUAUGUAGACAAUUAGGCUACUCGCCAUAAUGGUGUUGUAGUUAUCAAGGAGAGGUUUUCUGGAGAUGUUCAAGCAUGUGUUGAAGACACGGACUCUGGAGUAAUCUGCCGAAGUAGCACAAUUUAGUAUGAUAAAUACAGAUAUGUGUAUAUGCAACUAUUGUAUUAAAAUAAAACUAUUUAUUUUGUAGGGGUCAAUACUGUAUAUUCUAAUUGCAGUCAUGGUGAGGUUAGAUUGACUGGUGGAUGGUUGUAUACUGACACAAGGAAGGAUAGAGAUCUAUAUUGAUGGAGUAUGGGGCACUGUCUGUGAUAGAGGAUAGGAUACUGAUGCUAAUGUUGCAUGUGCUCAACAAGGUCUUUAUCCUUCAGGAGAUAGACAUGUUAUGGUGCUUUUUACGGUCAAGGAUUAGGGCCAAUCUUUCUAUCUGGUUUAAAGUGUACUGGUAUCGAGAAUAAUUUUUUGAACUGCAGUAGAGAUGUAUUAGAUGCUGAAAAUAUGGUAGACACUAUGAAGAUGCUGGUGUAGCCUGUCAAGUUACACUAUUAUAAUUACUAUUAUAAUUACUAUUAUAAUGGCAUUUUAUUUGUUAAUUAAUUUACUUGAUUACAGGGUCAUACCCAGUUAUAUUUAGUCACAGGUUUGGAUCAAUAUUUGGCAGAGAACUAAUAUUUGUGUCUGGUCCUAGCUUUGAAUUGAGUGAUAUUACAAAGUGUCUGUUUGGUAUACUUGUGACUGAUGGAGUCUACCUGACUGAGACUCAGUGUCUCUGUGUAGUACCACCAGCACAUGAUACUGGGUUGACUAUUUGACUGAUAUUAGGAUUACAAUUAAGAGGAGUGAGGCUACUCUGAGUGGAAUAACACAAUACAGAUACAGUUAGUGAUAUACUCAAAGCUAUUAUACAUUGCUUGCUAAUAUUGUUGAGUGUUGACUAUUAUAUUCAUCAUGCAUGCAUGAUUGCACUUUCACUGUCAUUCUUAUGCAUUUCCAGUUGAUAAUCAACAGUUGCUAAUAUAUACUGUGGAGUUGACACUUUCAAAAUAAACAAUUUGUAAGGACUGUACAUAUAUAUCUUUAUUUUCUUUGUAGUGCCAAUAGAAAGUGUUAUGCAUAUUAGACAACUUUGGUCAUGGCUAAGAAACUUAAAGUAGUUUUCAUUACCUCUUUUUCAGCUGUUUUAGUUCUUCUUUGGGAUCAUCUUUUGUCUUUUCAAUUUGGUGCCGAUUGGUAUUUUUUGAAAUCUAAUUCUCAUAGUAAAUCUUUCUUUUACAUUGGAUUUCUAUUUUAUUUCUUUCAUCCUUUCUUUGGUCUAUUGGCUGAUGUGUGGAUUGGAAGAUACAAAGCUAUACUGAUUGGCACAGUGCUAUGUUUCAUAUCAUGGAUUAUGUCUGGGAUUGGAUUCAUCAUACAAAGCUGUAAUGGUCCUUAUGAAGCACUUUGGUUAGUGUAUAGCCUAUCAUCUUUGGUCCAGUAUGUUGAAAUAGCUUUGUUUACUGCUAACAUUAUUCAGUAUACCAUUGAUCAACUUGUUGGAGCUUCAGCUGAUGAACUAAACACAGUGAUAUAUUGGCAUUGCUUUGCCUUUCCAAUGCAGUAUUUUCUCCUUAUCUUGGCUAACUGCCGUAAUACUUAUAAACAUCUUAAUUUGAUCAUAUUUAUACUAUCAGGAGUAACUGUAUCUCUUGUACUGGUGUCUCAUUCAUCCUUCAAACACAAA